UUAAUUUUUUUCUAUCGAACAUACAACAUAAUUGAAUUUAGAGGUCAAUGAUCUAAGUAUCUUGCUGACCACCAUACUUUGCUCCAUGUUUUCACCAUUUGAUUUCAUCUUGUUCACCAAGCUGAGGGUUCUUCCCAAAAAGUUGUCUACUUUCUCUCAUUCUUUCAUACCAAGCAGCUCAAACUCUCUUCUCAGAGCUUGAAGUUGUGCCCUCUUUACCUUUGUGGAACCUUUGAUACUUCUGCCGCAUUGACAUCCAGAUUGUCUUCGAUGCCCCUUUGUCAAUAAUUGUCUCCAGAAUUUCUCUAUCAAUAGCCUGGAAUAAGAAAUUCUUAACCUUCAAAUCCAUGAGCUUGGCUUCCUCCACACUUUUCCUCUGUGCUUCACUCGUUGGUGUGGUUCCAAUUGCCGGCACAGGCCCUUGUGGAGCUCAGAUACCAAAUGUAGAAAAAAGAAUGAGAUAAUAGGUGA
Molecule: non-coding RNA, 471 nt
Organism: Lupinus albus (white lupine)
Lineage: Eukaryota; Viridiplantae; Streptophyta; Magnoliopsida; Fabales; Fabaceae
Source: the annotation of a GenBank genome assembly